This is a ribosomal RNA of Chloroflexus aurantiacus J-10-fl, 2941 nucleotides long. It matches the Rfam family "Bacterial large subunit ribosomal RNA". Lineage: Bacteria; Bacillati; Chloroflexota; Chloroflexia; Chloroflexales; Chloroflexaceae. The record is from Rfam.
ACGGAAGACAUGAUGAGCACACGAUGGAUGCCAUGGCGCUGCGUGCCGAGGAAGGACGGGGCACGGCACCGAUAUGCUCCGGGGAGCCGCGUGCAGGCUGUGAUCCGGAGGUCUCCGAAUGGGGCAACCCGCUGCCAUCUGGCAGCGCUCCGCAUGCGCGGAGCGGGAACCCGGCCAACUGAAACAUCUCAGUAGCCGGAGGAAGAGUGAACGACACCCGUAGUAGCGGCGAGCGAACCGGGUGAGGCCUAAACCGUGCGCGUGCCAAGGGGGCAGCCGUUGCGCGCACGGGGUUGGAGGACGACCCACGCCCAUCCUGCUCGAUGGGCCUCACGCGACCGCGUUCAGCAGAAGCAGUGUGGAACCCUGCACCAGAGAGCGUGAGAGUCGCGUAUGCGUGCGCCUCAGCGUGAGGGGUCGUUCCUGAGUAGGUCCGGGCACGAAGAACCCGGGCUGAAGCCGGGCAGACCACUGUCCAAGGCAAGCUACACGCAGUGACCGAUAGCGCACAGUACCGUGAGGGAACGGUGAAAAGUACCCCGGUGAGGGGAGUGAAAGAGACCCUGAAAUCGUGUGCUUCCACGCCGUGGGAGCCGGGCAACCGGUGACCGCGUGCCUUUUGGAGUAUGAUCCGGCGAGUAAUCCUCGGUGGCGUGGUUAAGGCAGAGCCAGCCGGAGCCGGAGUGAACGCGAGCCUGAACAGGGCAUACCGUCGCCGGGGAUUGACCCGAAACCGUGUGAGCUACCCAUGGCCAGGCUGAAGCGUCCCUAACAGGACGUGGAGGGCCGCACCGGUGUCUGUUGCAAAAGGCUCGGAUGAGCUGUGGGUAGGGGUGAAAUGCCAAUCGAACACGGAGAUAGCUGGUUCUCCCCGAAAUGUAUUGAGGUACAGCCGCGGCAAUGGCACACCCGGAGGUAGAGCACUGUUGUUGUGCGGGGGCUUCACCGCUUACCAAGCGACGGCAAACUGCGAAUGCCGGGUGUGUGCACCGCGAGUGAGACGGCGGGUGCGAAUAUCCGUCGUCGAGAGGGAAACAACCCAGACCGCCGGCUAAGGUCCCCCAGUGGUCGCUAAGUGGGAAAGGUUGUGGCGCCGCUUAGACAACCAGGAGGUUGGCUUAGAAGCAGCCAUCCUUGAAAGAGUGCGUAACAGCUCACUGGUCAAGCAGCGCUGCGCCGAGGCUGUAACGGGGCAAAGCGACCCACCGAAGCCGCGGGUUGACUGAGAGGUCAACGGUAGGGGAGCGUCGUGACCGCAGGGAAGGGACGGCGGAAGCCGCACUGGAGCGGGCACGAGUGCGAAUGCCGGAAUGAGUAACGGAGAAGCGAUGUGGCAAUCAUCGCCACCGAAAGUCAAAGGGUUCUGCCGCACGGAUGCACCGCGGCAGGGUAGUCGGGCCUAAGGGGACGGCCACGGCCAGACCCGAUGGACAACAGGUGAAUAGUCCUGUACCGUGGAGUGGUCGCUUGACCAAUGCCGGAUGCUGAGGGGUAGUCGCCGCGGCGAGACGAGCGCCGUCCAAGCCGGUAGGGAGCAGGGCGAAGGAAAUCCGUCCUGCGCUGACCGAGAGGUGAGUGAAAGGGGGUUGGGGAACCAACCGCCAAUGGCGAGGCGCCUGUGCAGCCACGAAAGGCCGGCUCGGGAGACCACCCACGCCCGUACCGCAAACCGACACAGGUAGACAGGUCGAGGAGACCAAGGUGGACGAGUGACCCCCGGUUAAGGAACUCGGCAAAUUGACCCCGUACCUUCGGAAGAAGGGGUGCUGCGUGUAGGGUGAAGCCCCUGGCGGGUGGAGCCCGAGGCAGCCGCAGGGUCCAGGCCCGGGCGACUGGAUACCAGAACCACAGCUCCCUGCUGAAGCCGGAAGGCGACGUAUAGGGGGUGAUGCCUGCCCAGUGCCGGAAGGUUAAGGGGAGGGGUGAACGCUCCAAACCGAAGCCCCGGUAAACGGCGGCUGUAACUAUAACAGUCCUAAGGUAGCGAAAUUCCUUGUCGGGUAAGUUCCGACCCGCACGAAAGGCAUCACGAUCUGGGCACUGUCUCGACCGGGGGCUCGGUGAAAUUGCAGUGGCCGUGAAGAUGCGGCCAACUCAGAGCGGGACAAAAAGACCCCGUGGAGCUUUACUACAGCUUGCCAUCGGGCCGUGCAGGCGGAUGCGUAGGAUAGGUGGGAGGCGGAGAAGGCGGACUUGCGGGUCUGCUGGAGCCGACGGUGAAAUACCACUCUUCGGUCUGCGCUGCCCUCACCGGCGGAAGGCUGGGACGGUGGCUGGCGGGUAGUUUGACUGGGGCGGUCGCCUCCUAAAGGGUAACGGAGGCGCGCAAUGGCGCCCUCAGGCGGGAUGGUCAUCCGCCGUGGAGUGCAACGGCAGAAGGGCGCUUGACUGCGAGGCAGACAGGCCGAGCAGGGAUGAAAGUCGGCCGUAGUGAUCCCACAGUACCGGGUGGAAGGGCUGUGGCUUAACGGAUAAAAGCUACCCCGGGGAUAACAGGCUCAGACCGCCCAAGAGUUCAUAUCGACGGCGGAGCGUGGCACCUCGAUGUCGGCUCGUCGCAUCCUGGGGCUGGAGUAGGUCCCAAGGGUUGGGCUGUUCGCCCAUGAAAGCGGCACGCGAGCUGGGUUCAGAACGUCGUGAGACAGUUCGGUCUCUAUCCGCUCUGAGCGCGUAGAGCAGUGCGCGGGGCUGGCCCUAGUACGAGAGGACCGGGCUGGACGGACCGCUGGUGGAGGAGUUGUGGGGCGGCCUGCAAGCUCCGUAGCUAUGUCCGGGAGUGAGAACCGCUGAAAGCAUCUAAGUGGGAAACACGCCGCAAGACGACUGCUCUCACAGCGCAAGGCUGGUAAGCCCCCCGCGAGAUGAGCGGGAUAAGCGGCCGGAGCUGGAGGCGGGGUGACCCGUAGAGGCGACCGGUGCGCAGGGGCGAGGGCUUCCGUCC